RNAcentral lists this unclassified non-coding RNA (395 nucleotides) under soil metagenome. RNAcentral describes it as "partial contains 5.8S ribosomal RNA, internal transcribed spacer 2, and large subunit ribosomal RNA". The stretch from base 1 to 122 matches the Rfam family "5.8S ribosomal RNA", at positions 35 to 154 of the family's 154-position model. The record is from RNAcentral.
GAUGAAGAACGUAGCGAAAUGCGAUACUUGGUGUGAAUUGCAGAAUCCCGUGAACCAUCGAGUCUUUGAACGCAAGUUGCGCCCGAAGCCAUCAGGUUGAGGGCACGUCUGCCUGGGCGUCACAUAUCGUUGCCCAAUGCCUAUUGCAGUGCAAUAGGAAUUUCUAGGGCGAAUGAUGGCUUCCCGUGAGCGUUGUUGCCUCGCGGUUGGUUGAAAAUCGAGUCCUUGGUAGGGUGUGCCAUGGUAGAUGGUGGUCGAGUUAGAACGAUACCGAUCAUGUGCAUGCUCCCCAAAAUAUGGCCUCUAUGACCCACACGCGUCUUUUGACGCUCAUGACGAGACCUCAGGUCAGGCGGGGCUACCCGCUGAAUUUAAGCAUAUCAAUAAGCGGACGA